This 563-nucleotide ribosomal RNA is filed under the name uncultured bacterium. RNAcentral describes it as "bacterial SSU rRNA". It matches the Rfam family "Bacterial small subunit ribosomal RNA", at positions 338 to 916 of the family's 1533-position model. The record is from RNAcentral.
CCUACGGGAGGCAGCAGCAGGGAAUUUUGCGCAAUGGGCGAAAGCCUGACGCAGCAACGCCGCGUGGGGGAUGAAGGCUCUUGGGUCGUAAACCCCUUUUGCCGGGGAAGAUAAUGACGGUACCCGGCGAAUAAGCCACGGCUAACUACGUGCCAGCAGCCGCGGUAAUACGUAGGUGGCAAGCGUUGUCCGGAUUUAUUGGGCGUAAAGAGCGCGCAGGCGGUUCGUUUAGUCCGAGGUGAAAUCUCCCGGCUCAACUGGGAGGGGUCUUUGGAUACUGGCGGACUUGAGGAGAGCAGAGGUGAGUGGAAUUCUGGGUGUAGUGGUGAAAUGCGUAGAUAUCCAGAGGAACACCAGCGGCGAAGGCGGCUCACUGGGCUCCACCUGACGCUGAGGCGCGAAAGCGUGGGGAGCGAACCGGAUUAGAUACCCGGGGUAGUCCACGCUGUAAACGAUGGGCACUAGGUGUGAGGGGUAUUGACCCCCUUUGUGCCGAAGCUAACGCAAUAAGUGCCCCGCCUGGGGAGUACGGCCGCAAGGCUAAAACUCAAAUGAAUUGACGG